CGCGGGGUGGAGCAGCCUGGUAGCUCGUCGGGCUCAUAACCCGAAGGUCAUCGGUUCAAAUCCGGCCCCCGCAACCA
Molecule: transfer RNA, 77 nt
Filed under: Escherichia coli
Lineage: Bacteria; Pseudomonadati; Pseudomonadota; Gammaproteobacteria; Enterobacterales; Enterobacteriaceae
Also listed under: 7 other names
Description: tRNA-Met
Rfam family: tRNA
About the family: Transfer RNA (tRNA) molecules are approximately 80 nucleotides in length. Their secondary structure includes four short double-helical elements and three loops (D, anti-codon, and T loops).
Source: RNAcentral